This 211-nucleotide long non-coding RNA is filed under the name Mytilus galloprovincialis (Mediterranean mussel). The record is from RNAcentral. Lineage: Eukaryota; Metazoa; Mollusca; Bivalvia; Mytilida; Mytilidae.
GGAACACUUCAUCAUGCGACAGGACAGAAAUGCAUUGAACGUUCGAUCGACGAAUUCAGAACAAAAAACUUAAGGCUAUAGCGAUGAGUACAUCAGUACUGCACACAUACUGGGUUCUCGUAUUUAAACAUUGCGUCAAAGUUAUGGAUAUCCUUCAAUUUGAUCGGGGUCGAAUAUAACUUGCAAUACAAUUCAAUGAGAUAUGUGACAG